Molecule: ribosomal RNA, 468 nt
Filed under: uncultured bacterium
Lineage: Bacteria
Description: partial 16S ribosomal RNA
Rfam family: Bacterial small subunit ribosomal RNA
Source: RNAcentral
GACGAACGCUGGCGGCGUGCUUAACACAUGCAAGUCGAACGGAAAGGCCCUGCUUUUGUGGGGUGCUCGAGUGGCGAACGGGUGAGUAACACGUGAGUAACCUGCCCUUGACUUUGGGAUAACUUCAGGAAACUGGGGCUAAUACCGGAUAGGAGCUCCUGCUGCAUGGUGGGGGUGGGAAAGUUUCGGCGGUUGGGGAUGGACUCGCGGCUUAUCAGCUUGUUGGUGGGGUAGUGGCUUACCAAGGCUUUGACGGGUAGCCGGCCUGAGAGGGUGACCGGCCACAUUGGGACUGAGAUACGGCCCAGACUCCUACGGGAGGCAGCAGUGGGGAAUAUUGCACAAUGGGCGGAAGCCUGAUGCAGCAACGCCGCGUGCGGGAUGACGGCCUUCGGGUUGUAAACCGCUUUCGCCUGUGACGAAGCGUGAGUGACGGUAAUGGGUGAAGAAGCACCGGCUAACUACGUG